UCGUACCUGUCCUGAGGCUGGGGCAGGGAGACAUGAAGACUUCAGUAAAGGUGACCCCACCAACAUGGUGGGGAGUCUUCUGGAGCUCAGUCUUUAAGGCAUGCAUUCUCUUAUGACUAAAACUCCCCAGAAAGUCCCCUGGAUUCUGCUCAGACCAGCAAUUAAUUGAUUGAUUGAUUCUGUACCAGCUGUGUAUUAGGGCCUGUAUAAGACUCCAGGGAUGUAGAAAUCAAUAAAAGUGAUUCCUGCCCUCAAGGAACUUGCUGGCUCAUGGCAUAUAACAGACAUCACGGUCACAAGGCAUGAGUAUUGGCUGUCCCCAGACAUCUGAGAAGGACUGUCGGCUGUGCCUGGCUGGGCAGGUGCCAAGGGAUCCCGGAGGAGGGGCGCACACAGGAUCUCGAAGGAGAAGGAGGACAAGAUGGGGAAGAGCAGCUGAGGCAGCAGGAAUAAAAAUGCCAAGUCAUAGAGGAAGGGGAGGGGAUGGAGAAGGGAGAUACAAAGAGGUUUGACUUCCUUGAGUACCUACUAUGUGUCAGGCUCUGUACCACUUGUUCCCAUCUCAUUAUCACACUGGUUCCUCCAAACAAUUCUGUACAACUGGCAUUCUUAACCCCAUGCCCAUUUCACUGAAGAGGAAGCUGAGGCUCAGAGAGGGCCAGCAACUUUUCCAAGGUCACACAGCUCCUCCAUGCUAGGUCUGAGACACCAGCAAGGACUCUCAGUCUAACUCUAAAGCCUGGAGCCUUUGCCCAUCUCCCCUCACCAUGAGCAUCCACCUCAAGCACUUGCACUAUCCUGAUUUGGGACCAAGAAGCGUUUGAGACAACUUGGGCACCGUCCUGUCCUUGAGAAGCCUGGAAUCUGUGGAGGGAGAUAGAUGAAGAACUGAGUCUCAGAGAGGAGCUCGACCCAGAGGUUAGUGCCUCAGGCAGAGAGCCUCUUGCGGGGAGAGAAUCCUUCAGCCAUUGAAUCCCAAAUCAUCCCCAAGAAGCAACAGAGACACCAGAAUGUGAACGUGAUGUCCAGAGAUAGAGCAGCCAUUCUAUGACGGUGAAGACAAAAGCCAGACAACCAGACUGGCAGAGCAGGAAGCUAGAGGCACCUGGGUCCCAGGUAACUUCCUUGUGUGACUGCUAUGGUUUAAAACACCUCUAUCUCUCAACAUUAUACACGUAAGAAAAAGAAACUUAUUUAUGCUUAAACCACGCUUGGUGUUUUCUGUUUGCGGCCCAAAGUGGUCCUGACAGAUUCACCACCCUUGGGGUCUGAAACAGGAUCUUGGACUGUAUGGACAGGGGUUGGAACAUGGGUGAAAAUUCAUUGGUUUGUAUGAACUGUUUCCCAAGCAUUGCCUGGUACAGUGGCCCUGGGGCUGAUGUUCCCAAGUACCCAUUGUGGGCCAGGGCCUGGUGCCAGACUAUGCCAAACUCUUCCCAGGUCUACAGCAUAAGAGACAGUGUGAGGCACCAACAGGGCUUUUUGGGGAAGGACUUUCUUUUAUUCUAAGAUUAUGUCCUGCCUACUUCUUUGGUUCUAAAUGGUAAUUUAAUUCAUGAAAUGAAGCGAGAGUAGAUGUUGGGAUUUUUAAUGUUUUUGCUUUGUUUUCAUUAACAUCUGCCCUAGCAAAAGAAAAAAAUUGACAGUCCCACAUCAGUUUCCAAAUUUUCUUUAGGAAUAGUGCUGGUCUCUGAAACCCAAAAGUUAAGAAUCUCUCAGCUCACUCAUACACCCCCAGGGCCCAGCUGGGAGAAGAGAUGGCAGAGAGGGGAGGAGGCCCCUGCUAGGGGCAGGGAGCAGGGGGUGGAUGGCCCAGGGCAGGUGAGCGCAAGCACUGUUCCAGUCCCUGCACUUUGGACCCGCAGGACCUGGCACUAGGAAUUUGUUCCCAGCCUGCUCUGUGCCUCCCAAUGCCCCCACCCAGGUGUCCCCAGAGAAGUGGGAACAGCCUGUUACAGCUUCCAGAAAGGUGCAGCUCCUGAGCACACCAUGUUCUGGAGGCCAACAAGGGUGUGUUCCGGGCUCUGGCCAGUGGACCGUGUGUGGACACCUGCUUCAAAUCCCUGAAGCUUGGCAGGUCUCUGCCAGGACAGCCACACAGAGCAGCUGGAUGUUCAGCCCAGCGAACCCUGAGACAGCCAGGCAUAGUAGGAACCCAUGGGAAAGUUCAGCCUCCCCACCGUCCACCUGGGGUCCUGCAAAAGGCUCAGGAGACCCUGAUGGCCCACCGACCCACCAACAGGAAGAGAGAGGAGCCUGGAGAGAGCGACCAACGGCAGAAACAGCACGUUGGGAAACUGCUCAACCAGGGAGAUGAAAGGCCUACACUGUGCUACACUCACAGCAUUUUAAACCUUGCAGCUCCCAGCAACUCGGCCCUAAUGAGAAGCAGGAAGAGCUGCAGCAGGCAGAGAAGGUUGUUGCUGGGAGGCGGAGAGGUUGGAAAGGCAGGGAGCUUAGCCAGGGCUCCAUGCCCUGCCACCAUGCCCCGCCACCAUGCCCCAUACAGACCCCUGGGGUGGGGGGCUUUCCAAGCAGGGGAAGCAACCAGAAUUCUUGGUCUGCAUUUUGGGCAAACUCAAAAGGCACAUACUGGAAGACAUGUGAGGAUUAGACCCAGGCUCGGGAAAUAAAUGGGUAGGACUGUGGGUCGUACUCAUAGUACUAGGUAUCGUGCCAAAAAGGCCCUGUGGCUGUUAAGCAAGACCUGGCACACCCUGUCCCAAUCUCUACACAGUAAAAUCUUACAGCUGAGGAACAGCAGAGGGGCACCUUGGUCCUAUUCUUAGGGGCGAGGCCCCAGCUUCAUCGACUACAAAGACGUCCGCAGUUCGAUGUCGUAGCCACCUUGUUAAUGAACACCCAAUGCCAGAAGGAAAUCUGGCCUGCCAGUUAGAGAAAUAGCCUGACUCCUUCCAGAACUUCCCAACGUUAUUGUUCUGACCAGGCUCCUGGAAGACGCCUCCAGAUCCCUUAACAUUCAGGGAGGUAUGGGCUCCACUUGUAUUAGGGAGGAUUUAUUUUAUUUUUAAAGAAGUUGAGGCCACUUGGCAAUCAGAGCCCUCAUGGCUGGAGCAGGGAGACCCUCAUCAGAAGGGGGAUUAAUCAAGGCUUCUUAAGGACAUGCAAAUCAGGAGAAAACUCAAGUGAUUAGGGCUUGAUGGGGCCUGGAGUCCAGCCUCUAGACCCGGCCUGAGAAGAGAGACUCAGAAAGCUGGUCGAGGUUACUCAGGCCCAGCUGGCAACUGGGGAGAGUGGACCAGGGAUUGAGGGAGAUGAGGGGAAGGAGGCAGGAUGGGCCGCGGGAGAAACAUCCACACAAUCAUGGCAAACCCGCCCGUGUGGCGGCGCUGCAGACAUGGUACCCUGGCCAGCCUCCCUUCUUCCCCUGCAGCUGCAGAGCUUGGAGAGGCUGCUAUGGCAGGACCACCUGCCUGGCUGGUACUUGCCCUCUUCCUGACGACAGAAGAGCUCUGUAGGAGAGACGGUCCCCUGGGCACUGCUCAAAGGAAAUGUGGUGUCGGCAAUCUGGCAGUGUCUACAGGGAGAUAGAUGUGCCCACCCCACAUGGGGCCCAGCGAUGCCACAGCUACAGGGUGACCUAAGGAAAUAAGCUGGCAUGUGUGUAAGAAUGCCACCUUGGGGAUGUGCACAUGAGCGAAAAAGUGGAAUCCUGUUCAACAGCAGGGGUUGUGUGAGCUGCUUAUGGGACGGGUUUAUGAUGGGUGGUCUACCGUGCCCCCUGAAAAAUGAUGACUUAGGUGUACGAAGAUGGCCACACAUUGUUCAGGGAAGAGAAGAAACAAAAACAGAUUUCAAACAUUGUGGGUAGCCAUUUUUAGAAAAACAAAAAAAGGAUAUAACUAGAAAAUUCUGGAAGGGUAGUCACAGGAAUGUUAACUGUGAUUACUUCGGAGGGGGGCAGGUUUUAGAUUAUUGUUAACUUUCCUCUUUGGUAUUAAUUUUUUUUUUUUUUUUGUAGUGAGCAUAUGUUACAUUUAUAAUCAAUAAAGCUACUUUCUCUUCCCUUUUUAAGAAAACUGCUUUGUUGGUUGACCUCACACCUCCUCCCAGCCCCUUUACUAUGAAAUAAAAUAUCCUAGUGAACCAUGAGGGUGACACCCAUCCAGCCCCCUGUUUUCCAGGUUUGGGUCAGUGAGCACCAUUUCUAGCACAAAGCAGCCAUCUACCACCCAAGGAGCACUACCAGACCCUUGAACUGCCCCAGGUUUCUUUGAGUGAUACAGCAAAACACCAGGGAGGCUGGAAGGC
Loxodonta africana (African savanna elephant) is the source of this 4272-nucleotide long non-coding RNA. RefSeq lists it as uncharacterized. The record is from RefSeq and is a predicted model, not a curated record. Lineage: Eukaryota; Metazoa; Chordata; Mammalia; Proboscidea; Elephantidae. The transcript is spliced from 4 exons.